RNAcentral lists this ribosomal RNA (301 nucleotides) under uncultured bacterium. Its description in RNAcentral is "partial 16S ribosomal RNA". It matches the Rfam family "Bacterial small subunit ribosomal RNA", at positions 509 to 807 of the family's 1533-position model. The record is from RNAcentral.
CAGCCGCCACGGGAAUACGAAGGGUGCAAGCGUUAAUCGGAAUUACUGGGCGUAAAGCGCACGUAGGCGGACUUUUAAGUCAGGGGUGAAAUCCCGGGGCUCAACCUCGGAACUGCCUUUGAUACUGGAAGUCUUGAGUGUGGAAGAGGUAAGUGGAAUUGCGAGUGUAGAGGUGAAAUUCGUAGAUAUUCGCAGGAACACCAGUGGCGAAGGCGGCUUACUGGUCCACAACUGACGCUGAGGUGCGAAAGCGUGGGGAGCAAACAGGAUUAGAUACCCGCGUAGUCCCUGUCUCUUAUAC